CUUGAUCGCUUCGCUAGUAAGGCCGUCCGCCGUAAGGAAAAUUGCCGUAUUCACACUGUUUCCAUUUUUUGCCGCUGCGAAAGAUUUUGGCGCUAGUUAUCGGGAACAUCGUUUGCAGCAGCUCAUUUCUUGAUUGUCAAAAGUUUUCAACCUGCUUUAAUGAGAAAAAUAUUUAAAUGCAGCGACGUCUCCAAACUCCUCUAUACUCUCCACCUGAAUCGCUGA
This 225-nucleotide long non-coding RNA is filed under the name Centruroides sculpturatus (bark scorpion). RNAcentral describes it as "uncharacterized LOC111630933". Lineage: Eukaryota; Metazoa; Arthropoda; Arachnida; Scorpiones; Buthidae. The record is from RNAcentral.